Molecule: ribosomal RNA, 497 nt
Filed under: uncultured bacterium
Lineage: Bacteria
Description: partial 16S ribosomal RNA
Rfam family: Bacterial small subunit ribosomal RNA
Source: RNAcentral
GAUGAACGCUGGCGGCGUGCCUAAUACAUGCAAGUCGAGCGAACAGAUGAGGAGCUUGCUCCUCUGACGUUAGCGGCGGACGGGUGAGUAACACGUGGAUAACCUACCUAUAAGACUGGGAUAACUUCGGGAAACCGGAGCUAAUACCGGAUAAUAUAUUGAACCGCAUGGUCCAAUAGUGAAAGACGGUUUUGCGGUCACUUAUAGAUGGAUCCGCGCUGCAUUAGCUAGUUGGUAAGGUAACGGCUUACAAAGGCAACGAUGCGUAGCCGACCUGAGAGGGUGAUCGGCCACACUGGAACUGAGACACGGUCCAGACUCCUACGGGAGGCAGCAGUAGGGAAUCUUCCGCACAGGGCGAAAGCCUGACGGAGCAACGCCGCGUGAGUGAUGAAGGUCUUCGGAUCGUAAAACUCUGUUAUUAGGGAAGAACAAAUGUGUAAGUAGCUAUGCACGUCUUGACGGUACCUAAUCAGAAAGCCACGGCUAACUACGUG